GCCAGAAAUCUUAGCCCUAUUUUAACAAAUGACACCCCAAACCAAAUAUACGAAUUAAACCAUUUUCUUUAUCUAGUAAAGGCGAUUGAAAAACCAAUUAGAGCUAUAACAAGAGUACCGCAAGGAAAAGAUGAAAUAAAUAUGAAAUAGACCCCAAAGCACAAAAAAGCAGAGACACCCCCUCGUACCUUUUGCAUCAUGAUCUAACUAGUCUAAUCAAGCAUAAAGAACUUUAGUUUGACCUCCCGAAACUAGGUGAGCUACUUCGAGGCAGCCUAAUGAGCCCACCCGUCUCUGUUGCAAAAGAGUGGGAAGACCCCCAAGUAGCGGUGACAGACCUAACGAACCUAGAGAUAGCUGGUUACUUAAGAAAAGGAUCUAAGUCCUACCUAAAACAUUAUUAAUAUUACUAAAUAUAGCUUAUGUUUUAGAGCUAUUCAAAUGAGGUACAGCCCAUUUGAAACUAGGAUACAACCUAUAACAACGGGUAAUUUCACUAAACGUCUAAACAAGUGGGCCUAAGAGCAGCCACCUUUAAAAUAGCGUCAAAGCUUUCUUAUACAGCACUUUAAUAUCACCAUCCACUAAAAACCCUUUACACAUAUUAAGUUAUUCUAUACCCCUAUAGAGAUAUUUAUGUUAGAACUAGUAAUAAGAAGAUGAACCUUCUCUCAAAUGUAAGUGUAAACCAGAAAGGACUAACCACUGUUAAUUAAACAUCAAUGAACACAAAACAGCAACCUCACUAGAAAACCCUGUUUUUAUAAAUGUUAACCUGACACUAGCACAUUUCAAGAAAGAUUAAAAGAAAAAGAAGGAACUCGGCAAAUAUUAGCCCCGCCUGUUUACCAAAAACAUCGCCUCUUGAAACUUAUAAGAGGUCCAGCCUGCCCAGUGACUAAGUUCAACGGCCGCGGUAUCCUAACCGUGCGAAGGUAGCGUAAUCACUUGUUCUUUAAAUGAGGACUAGUAUGAAUGGCACCACGAGGGUUAUACUGUCUCCUUUUUCCAAUCAAUGAAACUGAUCUCCCCGUGAAGAAGCGGGGAUAAAGCUAUAAGACGAGAAGACCCUAUGGAGCUUCAAACAACAAUAGCACUGGCCCCACCUUUUACGUCCGUAGACAUAACCAUUACUCUAGCCAGCAUGACUAUUAGUUUUAGGUUGGGGUGACCGCGGAGCAAAAAUUAACCUCCACAUUGAACGGAGCUUCUCCUGAGCUAAAAGCUACGACUUUAAGCACCAAUAAAUUGACAUUAAUUGACCCAACAUGUUGAACAACGAACCAAGUUACCCUAGGGAUAACAGCGCAAUCCAUUUCAAGAGCCCCCAUCGACAAAUGGGUUUACGACCUCGAUGUUGGAUCAGGGUACCCCAGUGGUGCAGCCGCUACUAAAGGUUCGUUUGUUCAACGAUUAAAACCCU
This 1423-nucleotide ribosomal RNA is filed under the name Dendropsophus reichlei. Its description in RNAcentral is "partial 16S ribosomal RNA". It matches the Rfam family "Bacterial large subunit ribosomal RNA", at positions 371 to 2597 of the family's 2925-position model. Lineage: Eukaryota; Metazoa; Chordata; Amphibia; Anura; Hylidae. The record is from RNAcentral.